Molecule: ribosomal RNA, 488 nt
Filed under: uncultured bacterium
Lineage: Bacteria
Description: bacterial SSU rRNA
Rfam family: Bacterial small subunit ribosomal RNA
Source: RNAcentral
AGCGAACGCUAGCGGGUGGCUUAACACAUGCAAGUCGAGCGGGGUCUUCGGGCCCAGCGGCGAACGGGUGAGUAACACGUAGGAUAUCUGCCUUUUGGUGGGGCAUAGCCGGGGGAAACCCCGAUUAAUACCGCAUAUGGCCUAAGGGUCAAAGCCUUCGGGCGCCAAGAGAGGAGCCUGCGGCCCAUUAUUUAAUCCUAGUUGGUGGGGUAAUGGCCUACCAAGGGUACGAUGGGUAGCUGGUCUGAGAGGACGAUCAGCCACACUGGAACUGAGACACGGUCCAGACUCCUACGGGAGGCAGCAGUGGGGAAUAUUGCGCAAUGGGCGGAAGCCUGACGCAGCCAACCCGCGUGUGUGAUGAAGGCCUGCGGGUUGUAAAGCACUUUCAGUAGGGAGGAAACAGUAGCCGGUUAAUAUCCGGUUGCCUUGACGUUACCUACAGAAGAAGCAACCGGCUAACUCUGUGCCAGCAGCCGCGGUAAAGU